RNAcentral lists this unclassified non-coding RNA (1165 nucleotides) under Homarus americanus (American lobster). Its description in RNAcentral is "eukaryotic translation initiation factor 4E type 2- like, transcript variant X4". The record is from RNAcentral. Lineage: Eukaryota; Metazoa; Arthropoda; Malacostraca; Decapoda; Nephropidae.
UCCUCCCUGGAUGAUGAACUCCCAUGGUAGAGAGAGAGAAAGUCGCCCUCGUCUCGUGGCCGCAGGAGACAGCAGAAGGACGACCUAUGGGUACCCGAGGCGCUGGAGUGCAGACACCAGUUUGAUGCAAUACCUCACACAUCUCGCGAGGACCGGAGAGAAUAACAGUACAGCACUUACGGAGAGCGUUAUGAAGGACGGACCAUCUAGUCUUAAAACUAACGAUGACUCAGGUGAAGAAGAUAAUGGUACCAGAGAGAUAAAGGAGACAGAAAAACCUCUACCACCACUUGAAGUUAAGCCCGGGGAACACAGACUUCAGUACUCCUACUGCAUCUGGUUUAGUCGUCGAGCACCGGGCAAACAGGCGACAACACAGAAUUAUGACCAGAAUCUACAGUUAAUAGGAAGAUUUGCCUCCGUGGAACAGUUCUGGGGUCACUAUAGCCACUUAGUGCGGCCAGCUCACCUUACCUCACACUCCGACAUACAUAUCUUUAAAGAUGGAAUAAAGCCCAUGUGGGAGGACUCGGCAAAUAAAAAUGGAGGAAAAUGGAUUGUGCGGCUACGUAAAGGGUUAGCGUCGCGUUGUUGGGAGAAUAUGAUCUUGGCCAUGCUAGGGGAACAGUUCUUGGUUGGUGAUGAGAUUUGUGGUGCCGUCAUAUCUGUGCGAUUUCAGGAGGACAUAAUAUCUGUUUGGAACAGAACUGCACAAGAUUCACUAACAACAGGAAGAAUCCGUGACACACUGAAACGAGUCCUCAACCUUCCACCCAACACUGUCAUGGAAUACAAAACACACAAUGAUUCUCUGAAGCACACCCACUCCGCGUCCAGCCUUCUGCGAAAACCUGGCCCUCCCAUGAGGCAUGACCUCCUGCACUGAUGUCUCUAUCCUCCAGCCCCCCCUCUUGGGAGUGAGGAGAUUUGGGGGGAGGGGGGGGAAGAGGUCGAGACAACCAUCAUACUCUGUGCAUCUGUGCAGUGUACUUCACAGCCCUCUAAUGCAAACUAAUUGAUGUGAAGGUCGUUAAGGUAUGAGAAAAAUCCAGAGUAGAGGGACGUAUGCGAGGCUGUUGUGACUUCUUACAGAAAUGUUGAUGUAACGUGUUGGCUUGAGUUGUAAACUGGGUAUACAGUGCAUUAUAUAAAUAUUUUAACUUCC